This 427-nucleotide ribosomal RNA is filed under the name uncultured prokaryote. RNAcentral's name for it is "bacterial SSU rRNA". It matches the Rfam family "Bacterial small subunit ribosomal RNA", at positions 355 to 774 of the family's 1533-position model. The record is from RNAcentral.
UGGGGAAUAUUGCACAAUGGGGGAAACCCUGAAGCAGCCAUGCCGCGUGUGUGAAGAAGGCCUUCGGGUUGUAAAGCACUUUCAGCGAGGAGGAAAGGUUGAUACCUAAUACGUAUCAGCUGUGACGUUACUCGCAGAAGAAGCACCGGCUAACUCCGUGCCAGCAGCCGCGGUAAUACGGAGGGUGCAAGCGUUAAUCGGAAUUACUGGGCGUAAAGCGCACGCAGGCGGUUGGAUAAGUUAGAUGUGAAAGCCCCGGGCUCAACCUGGGAAUUGCAUUUAAAACUGUCAAGCGAGAGUAUUGUAGAGGGGGGUAGAAUUCCAGGUGUAGCGGUGAAAUGCGUAGAGAUCUGGAGGAAUACCGGUGGCGAAGGCGGCCCCCUGGACAAAGACUGACGCUCAGGUGCGAAAGCGUGGGGAGCAAACA